UGCCCGAUGGUGUAACGGUAGCACAGCAGACUCUGGAUCUGUAUGUCUAGGUUCAAAUCCUAGUCGGGCAGCCA
This 74-nucleotide transfer RNA is filed under the name Verrucomicrobiota bacterium. RNAcentral's name for it is "tRNA-Gln". It matches the Rfam family "tRNA". Rfam says of the family: Transfer RNA (tRNA) molecules are approximately 80 nucleotides in length. Their secondary structure includes four short double-helical elements and three loops (D, anti-codon, and T loops). Further hydrogen bonds mediate the characteristic L-shaped molecular structure. tRNAs have two regions of fundamental functional importance: the anti-codon, which is responsible for specific mRNA codon recognition, and the 3' end, to which the tRNAs corresponding amino acid is attached (by aminoacyl-tRNA synthetases). tRNAs cope with the degeneracy of the genetic code in two manners: having more than one tRNA (with a specific anti-codon) for a particular amino acid; and 'wobble' base-pairing, i.e. permitting non-standard base-pairing at the 3rd anti-codon position. Lineage: Bacteria; Pseudomonadati; Verrucomicrobiota. The record is from RNAcentral.